GGUUCGAUUAUGGCUCAGAUUGAACGCUGGCGGGAUGCUUUACACAUGCAAGUCGAACGGCAGCACGGACUUCGGUCUGGUAGUGGCGAACGGGUGAGUAAUGUAUCAGGAACGUGCCUGAUAGCAGGGGAUAACUACGCAGCCAGCUAAUACCGCAUACGCCCUUCGGAAAGCGGGGGACCUUCGGGCCUCGCACUAUUAGAGCGGCCGAUAUCGGAUUAGCUAGUUGGUGGGGUAACGGCUCACCAAGGCGACGAUCGUAGCGAAAGCUGGUUUUGGGGAAGGGACGACAAUACCUGGGACUGAGACACAGGCCAGACUCC
RNAcentral lists this unclassified non-coding RNA (323 nucleotides) under uncultured Bordetella sp. RNAcentral's name for it is "partial 16S-23S ribosomal RNA intergenic spacer". It matches the Rfam family "Bacterial small subunit ribosomal RNA", at positions 10 to 339 of the family's 1533-position model. Lineage: Bacteria; Pseudomonadati; Pseudomonadota; Betaproteobacteria; Burkholderiales; Alcaligenaceae. The record is from RNAcentral.